This 508-nucleotide ribosomal RNA is filed under the name Hydroporus lucasi. RNAcentral describes it as "partial 16S ribosomal RNA". It matches the Rfam family "Bacterial large subunit ribosomal RNA", at positions 1825 to 2597 of the family's 2925-position model. The record is from RNAcentral. Lineage: Eukaryota; Metazoa; Arthropoda; Insecta; Coleoptera; Dytiscidae.
GUCCUUUAGUUAAAAAUAAUUUAAGGUCUAACCUGCCCAUUGAUUUAAUUAAAAGGCCGCAGUAAUUUGACUGUGCAAAGGUAGCAUAAUCAUUAGUUUUUUAAUUAAAAGCUUGUAUGAAUGGUUGGACGAGAUAAAAUCUGUCUCUUUAUAAAAAAUAGAAUUUAAUUUUUAAGUUAAAAAGCUUAAAUUUAAAUAAAAGACGAGAAGACCCUAUAGAUCUUUAUAUAAUUUUUUUUAGUAUUAAUAAAGAAAUUUUUAUUUAUUAAUUAAAUUUAUAUUUUAUUGGGGUAAUAACAAGAUUAAAAAAAUUCUUAAAUAUUAAACAAAAAUUAUUGGUUAAAUGAUCCAUUAUUAAUGAUUAUAAGAUUAAGUUACCUUAGGGAUAACAGCGUAAUUUUUUUAAAGAGUUCUUAUCAAUAAAAAAGUUUGCGACCUCGAUGUUGGAUUAAAAUUAAUUCUGGGUGCAGAAGUUCAGAAUUUUGGUCUGUUCGACCAUUAAAUUUUU